GAUAAACGCUGGCGGCGUGCCUAAUACAUGCAAGUCGAGCGAACGGACGAGAAGCUUGCUUCUCUGAUGUUAGCGGCGGACGGGUGAGUAACACGUGGAUAACCUACCUAUAAGACUGGGAUAACUUCGGGAAACCGGAGCUAAUACCGGAUAAUAUUUUGAACCGCAUGGUUCAAAAGUGAAAGACGGUCUUGCUGUCACUUAUAGAUGGAUCCGCGCUGCAUUAGCUAGUUGGUAAGGUAACGGCUUACCAAGGCAACGACGCAUAGCCGACCUGAGAGGGUGAUCGGCCACACUGGAACUGAGACACGGUCCAGACUCCUACGGGAGGCAGCAGUAGGGAAUCUUCCGCAAUGGGCGAAAGCCUGACGGAGCAACGCCGCGUGAGUGAUGAAGGUCUUCGGAUCGUAAAACUCUGUUAUUAGGGAAGAACAUAUGUGUAAGUAACUGUGCACAUCUUGACGGUACCUAAUCAGAAAGCCACGGCUAACUACGUGCCAGCAGCCGCGGUAAUACGUAGGUGGCAAGCGUUAUCCGGAAUUAUUGGGCGUAAAGCGCGCGUAGGCGGUUUUUUAAGUCUGAUGUGAAAGCCCACGGCUCAACCGUGGAGGGUCAUUGGAAACUGGAAAACUUGAGUGCAGAAGAGGAAAGUGGAAUUCCAUGUGUAGCGGUGAAAUGCGCAGAGAUAUGGAGGAACACCAGUGGCGAAGGCGACUUUCUGGUCUGUAACUGACGCUGAUGUGCGAAAGCGUGGGGAUCAAACAGGAUUAGAUACCCUGGUAGUCCACGCCGUAAACGAUGAGUGCUAAGUGUUAGGGGGUUUCCGCCCCUUAGUGCUGCAGCUAACGCAUUAAGCACUCCGCCUGGGGAGUACGACCGCAAGGUUGAAACUCAAAGGAAUUGACGGGGACCCGCACAAGCGGUGGAGCAUGUGGUUUAAUUCGAAGCAACGCGAAGAACCUUACCAAAUCUUGACAUCCUUUGACAACUCUAGAGAUAGAGCCUUCCCCUUCGGGGGACAAAGUGACAGGUGGUGCAUGGUUGUCGUCAGCUCGUGUCGUGAGAUGUUGGGUUAAGUCCCGCAACGAGCGCAACCCUUAAGCUUAGUUGCCAUCAUUAAGUUGGGCACUCUAAGUUGACUGCCGGUGACAAACCGGAGGAAGGUGGGGAUGACGUCAAAUCAUCAUGCCCCUUAUGAUUUGGGCUACACACGUGCUACAAUGGACAAUACAAAGGGCAGCGAAACCGCGAGGUCAAGCAAAUCCCAUAAAGUUGUUCUCAGUUCGGAUUGUAGUCUGCAACUCGACUACAUGAAGCUGGAAUCGCUAGUAAUCGUAGAUCAGCAUGCUACGGUGAAUACGUUCCCGGGUCU
Molecule: ribosomal RNA, 1372 nt
Filed under: uncultured bacterium
Lineage: Bacteria
Description: bacterial SSU rRNA
Rfam family: Bacterial small subunit ribosomal RNA
Source: RNAcentral